GUCAGGAUGGCUGAGUGGUCUAAGGCGCUGCGUUCAGGUUGGAGGCGUGGGUUCAAAUCCCACUCCUGACA
Molecule: non-coding RNA, 71 nt
Organism: Cololabis saira (Pacific saury)
Lineage: Eukaryota; Metazoa; Chordata; Actinopteri; Beloniformes; Belonidae
Source: the annotation of a RefSeq genome assembly